CACGUAGGGGGCAAGCGUUGUCCGGAUUUAUUGGGCGUAAAGAGCUCGUAGGCGGUUCGGUAAGUCGGGUGUGAAACCUCCAGGCUCAACCUGGAGACGCCACCCGAUACUGCUGUGACUAGAGUCCGGUAGGGGAGCGUGGAAUUCCUGGUGUAGCGGUGAAAUGCGCAGAUAUCGGGAAGAACACCUAUGGCGAAGGCAGCUCUCUGGGACGGUACUGACGCUGAGACGCGAAAGCGUGGGGAGCAAACAGG
RNAcentral lists this ribosomal RNA (254 nucleotides) under uncultured bacterium. RNAcentral's name for it is "partial 16S ribosomal RNA". It matches the Rfam family "Bacterial small subunit ribosomal RNA", at positions 524 to 776 of the family's 1533-position model. The record is from RNAcentral.